AGUGUUCAACUUAUUCCAUCAAAAAGCAGAAUAUCAAAUGCUACUACUGACGUACUAAUAACUUUUUUUUUCUUUCCAAAGAAGUAUAUCCGAGAAAUAUAGACUUCUGCAUCAAUCGUCAGGAGACGGCAUUUGGCAACACAAUUUCCACAAUCCUCCCGAACGGGCCCCUUUUCAUUCGCAAGUACCUUGUCCAACAAAAAAGCAGAAAAACGCACCUCCCCCUUUCUAUUUCAACUCACGCGUUCAAGUUCUCUGGCCGAGAAAUCCACAUCUCCAAACC
Molecule: long non-coding RNA, 283 nt
Organism: Eucalyptus grandis
Lineage: Eukaryota; Viridiplantae; Streptophyta; Magnoliopsida; Myrtales; Myrtaceae
Exons: 3
Source: RefSeq, a predicted model, not a curated record